This 27-nucleotide non-coding RNA is filed under the name Homo sapiens (human). The record is from RNAcentral. Lineage: Eukaryota; Metazoa; Chordata; Mammalia; Primates; Hominidae.
UGAGAAGGUCUUGCUGUCACUGUUCUC